Non-coding RNA from Rattus norvegicus (Norway rat), 5197 nucleotides. Lineage: Eukaryota; Metazoa; Chordata; Mammalia; Rodentia; Muridae. The record is from RefSeq and is a predicted model, not a curated record.
CACACACACACACACACACACACACACACACACACUAUUUGAGCCUUGUGCCUCCUUAGUGUAGAAAUACCCUUUAGAUUGCCCAGUCUCAUAGAGCAAAAUUCCCUCUUCAGUUUAAAGUUUGAGUUUCUGCUCCUUCCUUCUGAAAUUGUUCCACAUAAUACAAGGAGACACAAAUCGGGACGUGUGCAGUCACUAAGUUUGUUCUGCCUCGUUCCGGCCAUAGGAAGAGUAUAAAUUCUGAUGACCGAGACUAGUAGAUUGAGUGACGCGAUUUUCUUACUACUCCAUUUCCUUGACAGUCGAUUUUGUGACUAUGACAAGUUACCGCUGUGGCUCAGUGGCCUCGGCAGUGUUAGAGUAGACAUGGAGUCAUUGGGUGAAGUUAUAGGUUAGGUCUGACUUAAUGACAUCACAAGUAUUGAUUUAGUGAGAAAAGUACUUUGUGUUUUAAGUUUCCUGCCCUUUAUUUACUACUCCCUUGAGUCUGUGAUUUGCAUUUUGGUAACUUAAAGGCAGGAGGCGGGGAUAUUCUCAGAUGACAUUUCACGGAAUAAUUUUACUCCUUAAUCAAUUAUACAUCUUUCCAAGUCUCUUGGAACUGACUCCUUUAGCUCCAUUUCUGCUCUUGAAAAAAAUAGAAAUAUCAGAAUUUUCAGCCUCCUGGGGAAGUGAUGUUUGUAUUAUCCCAGAUAUCUGAGAAAGACAGGAGGGAAAAGGCUGGCAAUUACCUCAGUUUGAUGAAGAAAUGUAUUAGUAGCAGACAGUGAGUGUUACAUAGAAUCCCCCCCCAAUAUUGCUGUGCUUAAAACUGAUGACCAGGUUUUAAAUUUAGAAACAUAGUUCAUUUGUGAAAUGGGAUUUGAACCAUAAGAAAUAUGACAAGCCUGAGUGAGCUCUGAGUGGAGUUUGGAGCAGAAGAAUCUUGCUGUGGGAACAUUUUAUCAUGUGGAUGAAAUAAUGGGGGGAGACCAUGACAACAACUCUGUUAGCCUUCGCCAUGCAGAGAAGUCUUAUAAAGGAAAGGGUACAACUCCAGAAACCCUAAAACGUCAUGGCCUUUUCCGAACCCUAUUUCCCUUUCUACCAGAAAACCAUACAAGGUCACUGUAUAACCUGAUCCCAGGAACUGAGCGAACCCCAUUUUGGGUAAACCAUUUUGUUCUCAUUGCAAGAGAUGAUCCCUAGUCUCGUUUUGGCAGUCAGCUUCAUAAACAUGGAAUUAUCUGUUAUGAAAAUGACUGGAGAGAUGGCACAUGCUGCUCUCUCAGAGGAGCAGAACGCAGUUCCUGGCUCCUAGGUCAGGCGGCUUAUGACAGCCUGAACUCCAGCUCCAGGGGUAUCUGAUACCUUUUGGCUCCCAUGGGCACCAACACUCACACGCACAAACAGGCACACAUAUAUAACUAAGAAUAAAAUAAACCUUAAAAAUAACUUUAAAAAGAAAAUAGAUAGUAAUUUUCGAUGGAUAAAUAGGGAGAUAAACGAGUGCGUGCGAGCUGACUUUACCCAUGCAUAUUUCAUAACAAACUUAAUAGACAUAGAAUCCUGCCCAGCAGAGUUGGGGUUUGCAGUAGGAGAGUGCUGGGAGGAUAGGCUUCCUGGAGUCAUUUCGAGGCUCACCGGGUUGGAAUGGACGGCAAGGGGCAGGCAAUGGGAGAGAGUGACUGACUGACUCCUUUUCAGCCUAAAGCAAUUCUCAGCUGCCAGAAAGUUGAAAUAUUAGAGCAAAUUAUACGGCCUAAGUUAAAAUAAGCGCCCUAGGAAUAGGGCCCUAUAAAUAUUAAGAUACAUUCAUUAUGUAAGAAGCAGCAUCCCUAAUUCUAUAUUUUCCCCGUUUCUGAAUCUUAAUAACCACUGUUGAAAUCACCAUUCUCGUUAAUGUCUUCAGCUAUUUACUUCUGCUGGUUGAGACACAAAUUAUUGGCACAUCCUCAAAGCCAUUGCCUUCUGAUUGUUUCUUCCAGGAGCACCCUUUAUAGCUAUCAAUAGAAAAAAAAACACUUAAAAACCAUAGGUGUUUUAUAUGUAAGAAUUUUGCAUUCUGGCGUAGCACUGGCACUAUGCCUCAAGCCAAACCAGAUCAACAAGCAAAAAAAAAAAAAAAAAAAAAAAAAAAAAAUCUACUCUUCAUUCACGUUUCUGACUUACGUCGCAAUUCACAGAGCAUUAAGUGUAGCAUCUGUCUUAUGGCUAAUAGUGUGAAAUUAUUUUUUAAAAACAGACUUAAGUCAUUCAUUUUUCUUGUAUUAAAAGCCCUUAUGUGGUAGCCACAGCUAGAGCCUGGGUCCUCUGAACAGAAACUCUGGUGAUGGUUACAAGAUGGUGAGUGAAUUCCUGGUAGGGAGACUUGGUGAACACAGUCUCUUUCCAGAGGUCAGCGGUUAGAUAGCUGUAGGUCUUGGAGAUGGCAUCAAAGCUGGCCUUGGCAAAGUUGCCCAGAGUGGCAGUGCAGCCUCUGGCUGAAUUAUAGCAGUCAUCUGUAACAGACAUCAGCAGUAGCUUCUUGGGCACAGAAGCAGAGACAAUGCCAGUGCCUCUGGGGGAAGGGAUGAGAUACACCAGCAUGGAGCCACAGCGGCCUGUCACCUUUCAUGGAACAGUGUGGGGCUUGCCAAUCUUGUUCUCCCAGUAGACUCUUCGCACCGGGACGGGACGAUAGAAAGCUUGGCCAGGAUGAUGGCCCCCUCAGAUGGCAGUGGCUACCUCCUUGGAGCUUUACGCCUUGCGACCAUUGAAGUCCCCAAUAGCGACGAAAGCCUUGACCCUGGUCCGCUGGCCAGCCCGAGUCUGCUUCUGCCCGGGCGGAUCGUCAGAACCUCAUCCUGUAGGGAUGCACCCAGGAAAAAGUCAAUAAUCUCAGACUCUUUAAUGCUCAAGGAGAACAGGUAGGUUUCCUCCAAGGACUUGAUCUUCAUAUCCUUAACCAGGCAGCCCAUCAUCGUGGUGAUGAAGAUCCAUUCCUUGUCUUCAGUUUUAACUCCACGAGCCCCGUGGCCUUGAUCACUGCCAUGGUGAAACGGAGGAAUCCCCAGUGGAAGCCCGCGUGGCUCCUAACCCUGGCGGACCGGAAGUCAUCCCCUCCCGCUGCACCACUGUACCGGUAUCAUCCGCCAUUUGGUGUUUUCCUGACAAAGCAUGUGAAAUUAUUUUUAAUGUGUUUAUCUGGCAGGAUCUAGGCAAUCAUACUACGUGUUAUAGUAGUUAUUUCAACAACCUAGAAAUAGGCAGAGUUUCAUAACAUCCCAAGCCGGCCUAAGCUCUGCACCCAGUACGUGUGUCACACCCAGUUCACGUCACGCUCGGAGCAAGCCCAGCAUUCAUGCGCCCAGCGUGGGAACUCUACCAACUGAGUUACGUCCCCAGCCUCAGCGUCUUCACAUUCUAUCUCACAGACCUUAUUAGGUAUAUAUGAAUACGCGCAGGAAUAUGAAGAGAGAAAGAGACUAUUACAGAGCCAGUAAGAUGACUCAGUAGACAAGGUGUCUACCAGAAGCCUGGUGCACUGAGUUCCACCCCCAAAACCCACAUGAUAGAUGGAGAGAACUCAUCCCACAAGCUGUCUUUUGGCUUUUACAUGCAUACCUUGCCCCUCCCCAAUACAUAAAUGUAAACUGUUAAUUAUUUAUAAAAGGAACUUUAAAUUGAAAAGAGACACUAUUAGGUUCCCACUCUAAGUUUAGAAUCUAAACUGUUACUUAAGGCCUGGCCUACAAGACUGCAAAUGUAUUUAUUGAGCUGUACUACAAACUUGCCUUCUGGGGACCUAGAGAGUUGGCUCAGCAGUUUAAAGCAUUGGAUGCUCUUGCAGGGGACCUGGGUUCGAUUCCCAGCAUCCACACAGUGGCUCCCAAUAGACUGUAACACCUAGUCCAGGACAUCUAAUACCUUCUUGUGAUCCCCACAGGGACCAGGUACACAUAUGAUGAACAGACAUUCAUGCAAGGCAAAACAUUCAUACAAUAGAAGCAAAUGACGAGAUUUUAAAAAAGGCGGGGGGCAGAGUGACACAUAUCUUUAGUACCAGUGGUCUGGAAGCAAAGGUAGACAGAUCUCUGUGAGUUCAAGUCCAGCCUGGUCUACAGAGUGCGUUCUAGGACAGCCAGGACUACACCCUGAGAUUGUCUCGAUAAAAAUUAAAACAAAAAACAAAACAAAACAAGACAAAACAACAACAACAAAACGCUUCCCCUGAGCCUCUGCUAAACAUACCUGACAGUCAGUUUCCGCUCAGUGUUCUGCCUUCAUCACCGAUGAUCAGCACAUCUCUGUGUCUUGGUAGAUAGCAUUAUCGUUACUUUUUAAAUGUGGCCGAGGACCAAUAGAUGGCUCAGCCAUACAAGCCUGGGAACUUGAAUUUGAUACUUGAACCCACAUAAAGGUAGAAGGAGGUAACAUAUUUUAACCACACACCAUGGCCCGGAAGCAGCUGCCGCCGCCGCCUUCGCCGUCUCUGCCGCUGUCGUCACCAUCAUACAACGUAAUGAAAUGAAGCUGGGAGCUGGAUACAGCAGCUCAUGCCUGUAAUCCUAGCACUUGGCAACUGGAGGCAGUAGAAUCAGGAGAUCAAGACCAUCCUCAGAUCCAGGAUGGUUCAAGGCAAGCUUAACGAGACCCUAUCCCCCGCUCUCCUCCCCCAAAACAAUAAGAAAAAAAGAAAGAAAAGAGGGAAACAAACAAAAGUUGAGCUAAACCAAAUGUCCAAAUGUGAUUGCUCUGGCACAGAAACAAACCAAAAGGAGACGCGGUGCUGGAUACAGUGCAGAGACUUUGAUCAAAAUGACGAGUGGGAGCAGCUGGCUUGGAACGUACCAACUGUCCAGACUCAGAUCAUUCAUUUCUCUGUGCCUCUAUGUGCAAUUCCCUAAAAUGGGAUGCUCGGAGAGACUUAUACAAUGUGAAGUAAGUUAAACAAUGCAGUCCCUGGGUUUCUGAAUGCACAAUGAAUGUAGCCACUGUUAUUAAUUUGUUGUGCCCUGGGCUGACUCUGAGGGCCUCCUGUCUGUUCUCUGUAUCUGCUUCUCCCUAGGUGACCUCUUUCGAUCCCAUGGCUUUAAAAAUAAUCUAUACUAGCGACUCCAAAAUGUAUGCCUCCUGCCAAACGGAUCUCUGCAAACGUGAACCAAUUCAUGUCACUUUUCUCUUCAAAAUCACUGCCAGGGCUUCCCAUCUCUUUUGCCGAAACAACCGGAGCCCC